Molecule: ribosomal RNA, 497 nt
Filed under: uncultured bacterium
Lineage: Bacteria
Description: partial 16S ribosomal RNA
Rfam family: Bacterial small subunit ribosomal RNA
Source: RNAcentral
GAUGAACGCUGGCGGCGUGCCUAAUACAUGCGAGUCGAGCGAACAGACGAGGAGCUUGCUCCUCUGACGUUAGCGGCGGACGGGUGAGUAACACGUGGAUAACCUACCUAUAAGACUGGGAUAACUUCGGGAAACCGGAGCUAAUACCGGAUAAUAUAUUGAACCGCAUGGUUCAAUAGUGAAAGACGGUUUUGCUGUCACUUAUAGAUGGAUCCGCGCCGCAUUAGCUAGUUGGUAAGGUAACGGCUUACCAAGGCAACGAUGCGUAGCCGACCUGAGAGGGUGAUUGGCCACACUGUUACUGAGACACGGCCGAGACUCUGACGGGAGGAAGCAGUAGGGACUCUUACGGGAGGGGCGAAUGGCGGACGUGACACCGCCGCGUGAGUCAUGAUGGUCCUCGGCUCGGAAAACGCUGUUAUCAGGGAAGAAGAAAUGUGUAAGUAACUAUGAACGUCUUGACGGUACCUGCUCAGAAAGCCACGGCUAACUACGUG